CUUCGUGUCUCACUUGACAUAUUUCAAGAACGAACCUUUUUUCAUCAUGAUAGAUGAGUAUCAUAUCCCUCAUAUGACAUUUCUUCCGAUACCGAAGUGGAAAGUGCUGGCAAUAGCUGCAAGCAACGUGUCAGCUACGGCAUUCCAAUAUUUGUACAUUCGUGUGGUUCCAGUCACAGACGAGUCGCACCUAGGUUCGCGGAAAAU
Drosophila persimilis is the source of this 207-nucleotide long non-coding RNA. RefSeq lists it as uncharacterized. The record is from RefSeq and is a predicted model, not a curated record. The transcript has 3 exons. Lineage: Eukaryota; Metazoa; Arthropoda; Insecta; Diptera; Drosophilidae.